This 664-nucleotide long non-coding RNA is filed under the name Homo sapiens (human). RNAcentral describes it as "HSALNT0354692". Lineage: Eukaryota; Metazoa; Chordata; Mammalia; Primates; Hominidae. The record is from RNAcentral.
AACACAUCCAGCCUCAGACUCAGCAACUAUACCCCAGACCAUUUGCAUCAUGCUUGGAGUAUACUGUUAGAAUACAGAAAGGCAGCUGUGUAAAGAAAUAAGGGUCAUGAAAUCUGAUGAAGAGUUAUGAGGUCAUAUACAAGAAGGUGGGAAAAUAAGGAGAUCAUCAGAAAAAAAAAAGACUCAGAAGAAAACUAGUGGUUUUUGUUGCUGUUUUGUGUUGUUUUUAUCAACUCUGUGCCAGCCACUCUGACAAUUCACAGAUGCCAUCUCAUUUGUAAAACCAUCUCAUCUGGUCCCUGGACUUUGGGACUCAUUCUGCUCGACUUGAUCCCUGCUCUGCCCAUUGAUCACAUACACACGUUUACACCUGGCAGAAGAGGAAGAGGAGGCAUGAAGGAAUGGCCUCUUCAGAAUGGAGAAAAGCCUUCCCCAUGAGAACAUGCCUAAGACAGACUGCUGAAGAAGGCGGCAAAUGGAACAGCGCUGAAUCAGCCUGGUCAUCCCAGUCAAGCCUCCAGACAUGUAAGCACCCUCCUCUGAUCUGCAGAGCUGCCUGGCCCAAAUACUGUUGACCACUCUUGAGUAAGCCCCACCAAGAUCAGCUGAGAACAGUAGAACUGACCAGAUGACUCUAACCUCAUGAAUAAAUCCAAGUGUUUUU